AGAGUUUGAUCCUGGCUCAGGAUGAACGCUGGCGGCGCGCCUAACACAUGCAAGUCGAACGGGGUGGAAACACCUAGUGGCGGACGGGUGAGUAACGCGUGAGAAUCUGCCUUCAGGACGGGGACAACAGCGGGAAACUGCUGCUAAUACCCGAUGUGCCGCAAGGUGAAAGAAAUUCGCCUGAAGAGGAGCUCGCGUCAGAUUAGCUAGUUGGUAGGGUAAGAGCCUACCAAGGCGACGAUCUGUAGCUGGUCUGAGAGGAUGAGCAGCCACACUGGGACUGAGACACGGCCCAGACUCCUACGGGAGGCAGCAGUGGGGAAUUUUCCGCAAUGGGCGAAAGCCUGACGGAGCAACGCCGCGUGAGGGAGGAAGGCCUUUGGGUUGUAAACCUCUUUUGCUCGGGAAGAAGGCAGUGACGGUACCGAGCGAAUCAGCCUCGGCUAACUCCGUGCCAGCAGCCGCGGUAAUACGGAGGAGGCAAGCGUUAUCCGGAAUCAUUGGGCGUAAAGAGUCCGUAGGUGGCAACGCAAGUCGGCGGUCAAAGACCGGAGCUUAACUCCGGAGCGGCCGUGGAAACUGCGUAGCUAGAGUGCGUCAGGGGUAGCGGGAAUUCCCAGUGUAGCGGUGAAAUGCGUAGAGAUUGGGAAGAACAUCGGUGGCGAAAGCGCGCUACUGGGCCGGAACUGACACUGAGGGACGAAAGCUAGGGGAGCGAAAGGGAUAGAUACCCCUGUUAGUUCCUAGCUGUAAACGAUGGAAACUAGGCGGUGACCU
This 777-nucleotide ribosomal RNA is filed under the name uncultured cyanobacterium. RNAcentral describes it as "bacterial SSU rRNA". It matches the Rfam family "Bacterial small subunit ribosomal RNA", at positions 8 to 829 of the family's 1533-position model. Lineage: Bacteria; Bacillati; Cyanobacteriota. The record is from RNAcentral.